RNAcentral lists this unclassified non-coding RNA (155 nucleotides) under Alloleptosphaeria iridicola. Its description in RNAcentral is "partial internal transcribed spacer 2". The record is from RNAcentral. Lineage: Eukaryota; Fungi; Ascomycota; Dothideomycetes; Pleosporales; Leptosphaeriaceae.
GUACCCUCCAGCUCUGCUUGGUGUUGGGUGUUUGUCGCGCGGAUCUGCGUAGACUCGCCUUAAAACAAUUGGCAGCCGGCAUGUUAGCCUGGAGCGCAGCACAUAUUGCGCCUCAUGCUAGCGAAUGUUGGCCCCCAUCAAGUCCAUUUAUUUGC